CCUACGGGAGGCUGCAGUGAGGAAUAUUGGUCAAUGGGCGCGAGCCUGAACCAGCCAAGUAGCGUGAAGGAUGACUGCCCUACGGUUUGUAACCUUCUUUUAUGAAGGUAUAAAGUAAGGCACUUGUGCCUUUUUGUAUGUACUUUAUGAAUAAGGAUCGGCUAACUCCGUGCCAGCAGCCGCGGUAAUACGGAGGAUCCGAGCGUUAUCCGGAUUUAGUGGGUUUAAAGGGAGCGUAGAUGGGUUGUUACGUCAGUUGUGAAAGUUUGCGGCUCAACCGUAAAAUUGCAAUUGAAACUGGCAGUCUUGAGUACAGUUGAGGUAGGCGGAAUUCGUGGUGUAGCGGUGAAAUGCGUAGAUAUCACGAAGAACUCCGAUUGCGAAGGCAGCUUACUAAACUGCCACUGACAUUGAUGCUCGAAAGUGUGGGUAUCAAACAGGAUUAGAUACCCUGGUAGUC
RNAcentral lists this ribosomal RNA (460 nucleotides) under uncultured bacterium. RNAcentral's name for it is "partial 16S ribosomal RNA". It matches the Rfam family "Bacterial small subunit ribosomal RNA", at positions 338 to 795 of the family's 1533-position model. The record is from RNAcentral.